RNAcentral lists this ribosomal RNA (207 nucleotides) under uncultured bacterium. RNAcentral's name for it is "partial 16S ribosomal RNA". It matches the Rfam family "Bacterial small subunit ribosomal RNA", at positions 568 to 774 of the family's 1533-position model. The record is from RNAcentral.
UGCGUAGACGGGAAGUCAAGUUAGUUGUGAAAUCCCUCGGCUUAACUGAGGAACUGUAACUAAAACUGAUUUUCUUGAGUACUGGAGAGGAAAGUGGAAUUCCCGGUGUAGCGGUGGAAUGCGUAGAUAUCGGGAGGAACACCAGUGGCGAAGGCGGCCUACUGGGCACCAACUGACGCUGAGGCUCGAAAGUGUGGGUAGCAAACA